This 253-nucleotide ribosomal RNA is filed under the name uncultured bacterium. RNAcentral's name for it is "partial 16S ribosomal RNA". It matches the Rfam family "Bacterial small subunit ribosomal RNA", at positions 524 to 776 of the family's 1533-position model. The record is from RNAcentral.
UACGUAGGGUGCAAGCGUUGUCCGGAAUUAUUGGGCGUAAAGAGCUCGUAGGUGGUUUGUCGCGUUGUCCGUGAAAACUCACAACUCAAUUGUGGGCGUGCGGGCGAUACGGGCAGACUGGAGUACUGCAGGGGAGACUGGAAUUCCUAGUGUAGCGGUGGAAUGCGCAGAUAUCAGGAGGAACACCGGUGGCGAAGGCGGGUCUCUGGGCAGUAACUGACGCUGAGGAGCGAAAGCGUGGGGAGCGAACAGG